This 397-nucleotide ribosomal RNA is filed under the name uncultured bacterium. RNAcentral's name for it is "bacterial SSU rRNA". It matches the Rfam family "Bacterial small subunit ribosomal RNA", at positions 28 to 417 of the family's 1533-position model. The record is from RNAcentral.
GAUGAACGCUAGCUACAGGCUUAACACAUGCAAGUCGAGGGGCAGCGGGAUUGAAGCUUGCUUCAAUUGCCGGCGACCGGCGCACGGGUGAGUAACGCGUAUCCAACCUUCCGUACACUCAGGGAUAGCCUUUCGAAAGAAAGAUUAAUACCUGAUGGUAUGAUGAGAUUGCAUGAUAGCAUCAUUAAAGAUUUAUCGGUGAUGGAUGGGGAUGCGUCUGAUUAGCUGGUUGGAGGGGUAACGGCCCACCAAGGCGACGAUCAGUAGCCGGUCUGAGAGGAUGAACGGCCACACUGGAACUGAGACACGGUCCAGACUCCUACGGGAGGCAGCAGUGGGGAAUCUUCCGCAAUGGCGAAAGCCUGACGGAGCAACGCCGCGUGAGUGAUGACGGCCU